RNAcentral lists this ribosomal RNA (253 nucleotides) under uncultured bacterium. Its description in RNAcentral is "partial 16S ribosomal RNA". It matches the Rfam family "Bacterial small subunit ribosomal RNA", at positions 524 to 776 of the family's 1533-position model. The record is from RNAcentral.
UACGAAGGGGGCAAGCGUUGUUCGGAAUUACUGGGCGUAAAGGGUGCGUAGGCGGCGCGGUAAGUCGGGUGUGAAAUCUCGGGGCUUAACUCCGAAACUGCAUUCGAUACUGCCGUGCUUGAGGACUGGAGAGGAGACUGGAAUUUACGGUGUAGCGGUGAAAUGCGUAGAUAUCGUAAGGAAGACCAGUGGCGAAGGCGGGUCUCUGGACAGUUCCUGACGCUGAGGCACGAAAGCCAGGGGAGCAAACGGG